GAUGAACGCUGGCGGCGUGCUUAACACAUGCAAGUCGAACGCUGAAGCCCCAGCUUGCUGGGGUGGAUGAGUGGCGAACGGGUGAGUAACACGUGAGUAACCUUCCCUUGACUCUGGGAUAAGCCCGGGAAACUGGGUCUAAUACCGGAUACGACUUCCUGCCGCAUGGUAUGGGGGUGGAAAGAUUUAUCGGUCUUGGAUGGACUCGCGGCCUAUCAGCUUGUUGGUGAGGUAAUGGCUCACCAAGGCGACGACGGGUAGCCGGCCUGAGAGGGUGACCGGCCACACUGGGACUGAGACACGGCCCAG
This 309-nucleotide ribosomal RNA is filed under the name uncultured bacterium. RNAcentral describes it as "bacterial SSU rRNA". It matches the Rfam family "Bacterial small subunit ribosomal RNA", at positions 28 to 334 of the family's 1533-position model. The record is from RNAcentral.